GGUGAAUUUGGAUUUUUCGAUAUACAAGGGAUAAACUGAUUUUUAUUUGAUUAAAUAUUUUUAUAUAUGUAAAAUCUUAAAUUUUACAUUUGAAAGUUUAACUUGUAGUUUAAUAUUAAGAAAAUUACUAAGAAGGAGGUAUUCAAUCCUAUUACCGUAUGUAAAUAGAAUAUGGUAUUAUUCUUUUUAUAUAAAACAUUAUCAAGCAAAUCAAAUGACAAAAUUUAUGGAGUUAUAUAAUAUUUUGGAAUUUUUUUUUAUCUUAAAUUUAUGAAUUUUUUACAAAUGAUUUAAAUCGUUCGUUUUUUAUUUAAUUAAUAAUGAUUAUAUUAUAAUGAUAAUAUUAUAAUGAUAUCUUUAAUUAAACCUCAAGUUGUGCAUGUCAAUAAAAAAAUUAAUUCUCAUAUUUCUAUUCUUUUUCCUUCCACUAGCCAAAAGUUCUUCAUGCUAAACAAAACUUUGUCACACAAAACAUGUGCGAGAGUUGUACUCUUUCUAAAUUAUUUCAAUGAAGAGAAUGGGUACUUUUACAUAUUUCAUUCA
This 543-nucleotide long non-coding RNA is filed under the name Physcomitrium patens. RNAcentral's name for it is "long non-coding RNA (PPAT_LNC014614)". The record is from RNAcentral. Lineage: Eukaryota; Viridiplantae; Streptophyta; Bryopsida; Funariales; Funariaceae.